UACGUAGGGUGCGAGCGUUGUCCGGAAUUAUUGGGCGUAAAGAGCUCGUAGGCGGUGUGUCACGUCGGCCGUGAAAACCUGCAGCUUAACUGUGGGCGUGCGGUCGAUACGGGCAUCACUGGAGUUCGGCAGGGGAGAUCGGAAUUCCUGGUGUAGCGGUGAAAUGCGCAGAUAUCAGGAGGAACACCGGUGGCGAAGGCGGAUCUCUGGGCCUGUCCUGACGCUGAGGCGCGAAAGCUAGGGGAGCAAACAGG
RNAcentral lists this ribosomal RNA (254 nucleotides) under uncultured bacterium. Its description in RNAcentral is "partial 16S ribosomal RNA". It matches the Rfam family "Bacterial small subunit ribosomal RNA", at positions 524 to 776 of the family's 1533-position model. The record is from RNAcentral.